UAAAUGAACAAUUAAGGUGUCUAUGAAAUUU
Molecule: non-coding RNA, 31 nt
Filed under: Rattus norvegicus (Norway rat)
Lineage: Eukaryota; Metazoa; Chordata; Mammalia; Rodentia; Muridae
Source: RNAcentral